CACUGGUCGAGUGAUCCUGCGCCGAAGAUUUCCGGGGCUAAAACUUACUACCGAAGCUACGGCAUCAGUAAUGAUGGGUAGGGGAGCUUCCCAUACGGGUUGAAGCAUGACCGUAAGGACAUGUGGACAGUAUGGGAGUGAGAAUGUUGGCAUGAGUAGCGAGAUGUGGGUGAGAAUCCCACAGGCCGUAAACCCAAGGUUUCCAGGGGAAGGUUCGUCCGCCCUGGGUUAGUCGGGACCUAAGCUGAGGCCGAAAGGCGUAGGUGAUGGACAACAGGUUGAUAUUCCUGUACUACCGAUAACCGUUUGAGAGAAGGGAUGACACAGUAGGAUAAGCUAAGCACACUGUUGGUUAUGUGUGCCCAAGCAUUGAGGCAGUCAAAGUAGGUAAAUCCGCUUUGAUAAUGCUGGGAUGUGAUGGGGAGCGAAAUUUAGUAGCGAAGUAGCUGAUUUCACACUGUCAAGAAAAGUCUCUAUCGAGGUUAAAGGUACCCGUACCGCAAACCGACACAGGUGGGUGAGGAGAGUAUCCUAAGGCCAGCGAGAGAACUGUUGUUAAGGAACUCGGCAAAAUGACCCCGUAACUUAGGGAUAAGGGGUGCCACCAUCA
Molecule: ribosomal RNA, 610 nt
Filed under: Clostridioides difficile
Lineage: Bacteria; Bacillati; Bacillota; Clostridia; Peptostreptococcales; Peptostreptococcaceae
Description: partial 23S ribosomal RNA
Rfam family: Bacterial large subunit ribosomal RNA
Source: RNAcentral